CCAACAGGCAUGCCUCAGUACGGCGAGUGAAGCGGCAAAGCUCAAUUUGAAAUCUAGCACCUUCGGUGUUCGAGUUGUAAUUUGAAGAUGGUAACCUUGGGUUUGGCUCUUGUCUAUGUUCCUUGGAACAGGACGUCAUAGAGGGUGAGAAUCCCGUCUGAUGAGAUGCCCAUUCCUAUGUAAGGUGCUAUCGAAGAGUCGAGUUGUUUGGGAGUGCGGCUCUAAGUGGGUGGUAAAUUCCAUCUAAAGCUAAAUAUUGGCGAGAGACCGAUAGCGAACAAGUACAGUGAUGGAAAGAUGAAAAGAACUUUGAAAAGAGAGUGAAAAAGUACGUGAAAUUGUUGAAAGGGAAGGGCAUUAGAUCAGACUUGGUGUUUUACGAUUAUCUUCUCUUCUUGAGUUGUGCACUCGUAUUUCACUGGGCCAGCAUCGAUUCGGAUGGCAAGAUAAUGGCAGUUGAAUGUGGCUUCACUUCGGUGGAGUGUUAUAGCUUCUGCUGAUAUUGCCUGUCUGGAUCGAGGGCUGCGUCUUUUGACUAGGAUGCUGGCGUAAUGAUCUAAUGCCGCCCGUCUGAAAAACCACGGGACCA
Molecule: ribosomal RNA, 589 nt
Filed under: Hansenula anomala
Lineage: Eukaryota; Fungi; Ascomycota; Saccharomycetes; Phaffomycetales; Wickerhamomycetaceae
Description: eukaryotic LSU rRNA
Rfam family: Eukaryotic large subunit ribosomal RNA
Source: RNAcentral